Herpailurus yagouaroundi (jaguarundi) is the source of this 2581-nucleotide long non-coding RNA. RefSeq lists it as uncharacterized. The transcript is spliced from 3 exons. NCBI's taxonomy places the organism in Eukaryota, Metazoa, Chordata, Mammalia, Carnivora, Felidae. The record is from RefSeq and is a predicted model, not a curated record.
CCAUAAUCUAAAGAAGCUCAGGAGGUGAGACUCCAUGAAGAGAGGAGCCCAGCUGCCCCAGUCUCCAGCGAUCCCAGCUGAGGCCUUGAUGAGUCCCGCUGGAGAACCCUCCCUGCCUCAGAGAGCCUAUCUGCUGGCUACAGUCACAUCACUGACCCAGCUACACACAGUUGCCAGCUUCUCUUGCAGUUCUAUGUGGCCCUGUGAUCCAGCUCCACCCAAUAGAAGUAUGCUACUUCCGGGACCAACCUAAGGAAUUCUGGGAUCUCAAACUUUUGAAAACCAACAGCCAUACAACACUGCAACAAUCAUCAUAGGUCUGUUUUACAAAUGGUUAACCUGUAGAAGUGAAUCAAUGAGCCAGACUGCAGCAUACUCUUGAGUCAUUUACACCUGCCACCAGAGAAGUUUUAUUUUUCACACAUGUUAUGCUCAUCAUCCAUAAGACCAAAGACCUACCAACCACAGGUUCAAAAUCUCAGCUCUGCAAAGAAAAAAGAGUAAUUGUAUCAAUCUACUAAAUGAUACUCCAACGUAGAUAACCAUGGUCUUUUAUGGAUUUCUUUGCCAUUCUUGACAGGAAGUGGUAGCUAUUUUUAAUCAUACAAACUUAAAGACUAAAACAGAAGCUAUUAGAUUUUCCAAGGAGGAAAGCCCCCUUCUGAAGAGAACAAUACAGUUUCUUUCUUGUCAUCUUAUGGGUUUCAUUCCAUUCUCAAAUGCAUCCUGAGGAAAGAUGAACUGACAGGCACCAGAAGCAAGGUCAUACCUUUUAGAUCACCAAUUUGCUUUAGGGGACCUAGAAGCCCAUCUUGGAAUCAUCUCUCUUGCCCACCUGUGUGCCUGCCUUACCAGCCAGAGAUGGUCUCCAGGCAGAGGCUUCCUUCAUUCAGCAACCAUCCUGAGCACCCACUAUGUGUGCAUGCUAGAAAUACAGUGAUAUACAAAGGAGUCUCAGUUCGUGUUUGUGAAAUGAGUGUAUAGUGUAGUAGGGAGACACACAGUAGGUAAUUACACAUGUCUUACUAUCAAAAAUAGCAAGCUAGCUGAUUUGGACAAGACUUCUUACUGAAAAGAACUAAGAAAUUGGUCAAAAUGCAUUCAAAGGAAUAUUAGUGUGAAUUAGAGCUGAAAAUACAGUGAAGGAAGAUGAGAACCUGCAAGUUGCUUCUGCACUGAGAGCAUUUGCUGAUUUGGAAAAAAAUUCAACUCUCCUUCAAACAGCCUCAGUGAGCAAGGAGGACGGAAAUAAAAACCCAGAGUCUGCAAACAGUGAAGGGUCUGACAUGAGAUCCUCCCCAAAUAAUAAGCUGGAACACGAAAGGGCUACAGGGCAAGGGUGAACUGGAAAGGUAUCACUUCUUUCUUUAAAUUGCCUAAGUUCUGCAGAAAACAGUCUCAAAUUUCAUCUCUCCAAUAUUAAAGUGGCCUCCAGGUAAAAGGCAAAAGCCAAAGGAAGUCUUAUCUGGAGGAAGAUACUUUCACCGUAGACCUCUAUAAAUUUCUGUUCUUUCAGGGAAAGAGGAAGACAAUGCUUAGAUUUAUGGUUGUUUCAGGGGAGCUGGUGAAAUGUAGCUCAAGACUUUUGGAAUAGUUCAGGAGAAGAAUGGGAGAAGAAACUAAAGCGAGUGAAAUAAAACAACACUGAGUAGUAAGAAGAGCCCAAGUGAUCCUUGAGCCAGAGAUUGUAACAUUGUCUAUGAUCCUUCUGGGCAAUGUAUGCUUCCCGGACCUUCGUCAUCAGCACCAUCUGAGAGAUUAUGGGAAAUAGACUCUCAAGCCUGACCCCAGACCUACGGAAUUGGAAUCUGCAUUUUAACAAAAUCCCUAGGUGAUUCGUAUGCACAUUAAAGUUUGAAAUAAUGAAUGGGAAUAAUGAAACCUGAUCUAGAUCAGUGAGAAUGGGAAAAGAGAAUGACUGUUAGAUAUGUAGCUGCUGCCCAUUACGAUGUUAGAGGCCAUGGGUUGGCUAACAGACUCUGUAGUUUCUAACUUAAGCACCAGAAAGAUGAUGCUUCAACAGGCUUUCAAACCCCACGGCAUGCACAAAGCCAUUAGGAAGGCAAAUGGUAUUACACAAUUUUUUUUGUCCCACUUGUUGCUUUGGCUUAGAGAAAAUGGACAGAGUUUCCAUGUGAUUUGAGUGGAAGUGUAAUUGGAAUUCAGUAUCUUGAGUCUGGAACCACUAAUUGUUCUGCUGAGCAUAAUAUUGGACAAAGUAUUUUCCAAGUAUGAUGAGCAAAACUAAAUCCAAAAAAAAAAAAAAUCAACUUUCCAGGAGAUGGUUGGAGUCAGCCAGCCUCUGCUCCACUGUAACCAUGUGGGAUAAAAAAAAAGGCAUGAUGAAAAAUGCAGGUAUGUCAGAGGAUGUGCAACAGGACUUGCCAGAGCAAUACAGCACAGACGAUCUUGCAACCUAUGCGGAGAUGGAGUUUGACAAGAAGUACAUCCCAUUCUGGCAGUGCACCAUGAGGAGAACUGGAGAGAGUAAGUGAUACACGAAACCAAAUACUGUAUCUGCUUCUACCUGGGACAAGUGGUCAUUCACCUGUACAAACCUAGUAAAAUGCUUGGACUGUGU